This 469-nucleotide ribosomal RNA is filed under the name uncultured bacterium. RNAcentral's name for it is "partial 16S ribosomal RNA". It matches the Rfam family "Bacterial small subunit ribosomal RNA", at positions 28 to 508 of the family's 1533-position model. The record is from RNAcentral.
GACGAACGCUGGCGGCGUGCUUAACACAUGCAAGUCGAGCGGAAAGGCCCUGCUUUUGUGGGGUGCUCGAGUGGCGAACGGGUGAGUAACACGUGAGUAACCUGCCCUUGACUUUGGGAUAACUUCAGGAAACUGGGGCUAAUACCGGAUAGGAGCUCCUGCUGCAUGGUGGGGGUUGGAAAGUUUCGGCGGUUGGGGAUGGACUCGCGGCUUAUCAGCUUGUUGGUGGGGUAGUGGCUUACCAAGGCUUUGACGGGUAGCCGGCCUGAGAGGGUGACCGGCCACAUUGGGACUGAGAUACGGCCCAGACUCCUACGGGAGGCAGCAGUGGGGAAUAUUGCACAAUGGGCGGAAGCCUGAUGCAGCAACGCCGCGUGCGGGAUGACGGCCUUCGGGUUGUAAACCGCUUUCGCCUGUGACGAAGCGUGAGUGACGGUAAUGGGUAAAGAAGCGCCGGCUAACUACGUGC